CAGAUUUUAUUUAUAUUAAUUUGGAUUUAAUAUUUUUUAUCUGA
This 44-nucleotide transfer RNA is filed under the name Tetranychus pueraricola. RNAcentral describes it as "tRNA-Pro". The record is from RNAcentral. Lineage: Eukaryota; Metazoa; Arthropoda; Arachnida; Trombidiformes; Tetranychidae.